RNAcentral lists this ribosomal RNA (445 nucleotides) under uncultured bacterium. RNAcentral's name for it is "bacterial SSU rRNA". It matches the Rfam family "Bacterial small subunit ribosomal RNA", at positions 354 to 796 of the family's 1533-position model. The record is from RNAcentral.
GUGAGGAAUAUUGGUCAAUGGGCGCAAGCCUGAACCAGCCAUCCCGCGUGCAGGAUGACGGCCCUAUGGGUUGUAAACUGCUUUUAUACACCAAGAAAAAUCCGAACGUGUUCGGACCCGACGGUAGUGUAUGAAUAAGCAUCGGCUAACUCCGUGCCAGCAGCCGCGGUAAUACGGAGGAUGCAAGCGUUAUCCGGAUUCAUUGGGUUUAAAGGGUGCGUAGGCGGCUUUUUAAGUCAGUGGUGAAAUCCUGUCGCUUAACGAUAGAAUUGCCAUUGAUACUGAAGAGCUUGAGUUCAGUUGAGGUAAGCGGAAUGUGUAGUGUAGCGGUGAAAUGCUUAGAUAUUACACAGAACACCGAUUGCGAAGGCAGCUUACUAAACUGUUACUGACGCUGAUGCACGAAAGCGUGGGGAGCGAACAGGAUUAGAAACCCCGGUAGUCC